CUUGUGGUAAGGACAGGACAGACAAAUUUAGAGUUCUACCCAGUAAGACAGCACAUGUAAAUAAAUAGUCUAUCCUCUCUGUUUGAAAGAUAAUUCCAAAAACAAACACACUAUCCAAGAUACACAUGCACAUUUACAGAAUACAUAUUUCUGUCAUGUCUAUACAUAACUGAAGUUUAUUUAAAUGACUGAAACAGACUAAAAUAAAUGUCUAUUUCUAAUUAAAAGUUAUUUUCUAUGCUAGAAAAAUAUCCUAGGAUACUAACUAUAUUUAAUCAACAUUUAUUCCUUAAUGUCUAUUUCAUACUCUGAGUUAACAUUUUUUCUAUUAUUUGAAACUGUUCCUCAAGCCCUGUUUCCUCACACAUAAAAAUUUUCAUAACUCAGGCCCUUGCUCUGUCCUGUAGUAAUUCAUCCUAUAGUUUUCUGCUACUAAUGGGAUACUUUGUUACUCUUCCCCUCCUCUCUAUUCUCCACAUAGGAGUCCAAUUUGAAUAGAAGUUUCUAGGUGCACUCAACAUUUGACAAAGCUUAGAAACCAUGGAAAGUGCACUUAAUAUUAGCCUGUCAAAGCCCCAGCUUGUUCAUGACUAAUAGGCCCUUAGAUGAGUAAAUAAACCUCACUGAGCAUUCAUUUUCUCUAGCUAUGAAAGCUGUGUAACAGUACCUCCAGCCUAAGGUUGUUAGAAUUCCAUGAGAGGAAGUAUAUAAAAGUAUUGUACUUUGAAAAUGGUAAUGUACUACCAUUAGUAUAGAUGUAGGGCACUAUUGUUCCUCUGCAAGUCAGGAAGACUAACUCCAAUUAGGGAUGAGAAUUCAAAGGUCUGAAUUGUAGCCAGUGGGACAAACAGGUGUGAGACACCUCUCACAUUAUACUACACAUGGGGCCACCAGGCAUUGCAUCAGGCCUAAUAAAUCCUGUCCUACAAUGCAGAUUGUAGAAGAACAUGUUUAUGGGAAUUUAAAAAAGUGGCUUUUUAGCUCUCUAUCCUAUUUGUAUUGAAAAUAACCUCAACUAAAUAUAUCUUGCAGAGAAGUUAUUCACAUGAGUUUCAGAUACCACCUGCAUGCAUGAAAAAUGCAUAGGUCUGUGUGGGCGUAUGUAUGUCGAUGUAUUAGGACUGGAAUUUUGGUGCUGC
This 1139-nucleotide long non-coding RNA is filed under the name Homo sapiens (human). RNAcentral describes it as "long non-coding RNA NONHSAT224070". The record is from RNAcentral. Lineage: Eukaryota; Metazoa; Chordata; Mammalia; Primates; Hominidae.